AUUGAACGCUGGCGGCAGGCCUAACACAUGCAAGUCGAACGAGUGGCGGACCGGUGAGUAAUGUCCGAGAAACCGCCUGAUGGAGGGGGAUAACUACUGGAAACGGUAGCUAAUACCGCAUACCAUCAGAUGUGCCCAGAAGGGAUUAGCUAGUGGGUGGGGUAACGGCUCACCAAGGCGACGAUCCCUACCUGGUCUGAGCGGAUGACGAGCCACACGGGAACUGAGACACGGUCCAGACUCCAACGGGAGGCAGGAGUGGGGAAUAUUGCACAAGGGGCGCAAGCCUGAUACAGCCAUGCCGCGUGUAUGAAGAAGGCCUUCGGGAUGUAAAGUACUUUCAGCGGGGAGGCAUUACCCGCAGAAGAAGCACCGGCUAACUCCGUGCCAGCAGCCGCGGUAAUAC
Molecule: ribosomal RNA, 406 nt
Filed under: uncultured bacterium
Lineage: Bacteria
Description: partial 16S ribosomal RNA
Rfam family: Bacterial small subunit ribosomal RNA
Source: RNAcentral